UGCGUAGGCGGUUUGGAAAGUCAGAUGUGAAAUCCUACAGCUUAACUGUAGAACUGCAUUUGAAACUUCCAGACUAGAGUAUGGAAGAGGUAAAGGGAAUUCCCGGUGUAAGGGUGAAAUCUGCAGAUAUCGGGAAGAACACCAGUAGCGAAGGCGCUUUACUGGUCCAUCACUGACGCUGAGUGCACGAAGGUGUGGGGAGCAAACG
Molecule: ribosomal RNA, 208 nt
Filed under: uncultured bacterium
Lineage: Bacteria
Description: partial 16S ribosomal RNA
Rfam family: Bacterial small subunit ribosomal RNA
Source: RNAcentral